Molecule: non-coding RNA, 289 nt
Organism: Pelobates cultripes (western spadefoot toad)
Lineage: Eukaryota; Metazoa; Chordata; Amphibia; Anura; Pelobatidae
Source: the annotation of a GenBank genome assembly
GUUUUUCCAAGAAAGGUGGCAACCCUAACUAGUUUUCACAUACUCUUACUUAAGUAUGGAAACUUAAGAGGGAUGUAUGGGAACAAAACUUGUGUGGACUGGCUGACAAUGAAUAUAGUUAAAGGGACACUAUAGUCACCAGAACAACUACAGCUUAUUGAAUUUGUUCUGGUGAGUAGAAUCAUUACCGUAAGGCUUUUUGCUGUUAACACAGUCUUUUUAGAGAAAUGCAGUCUUUACAUUACAGCCUAGUGAUAACUUCACUGGCCAGUCCUUAGAUGGCUGUUAG